GAAAUGCGAUACGUAAUGCGAAUUGCAGAACUCAGUGAAUCAUCAAAUCUUUGAACGCAAAUUGCGCUUUCGGGAUAGGCCUGAAAGCACGCCUCUUUGAGUAUCGAUUCAACCACCGCUCGACGGCGUUCUUUUUAACGGGAACGUGCAGUUGGCUGAGAUUGAGUUUCGCAGUUGUAACAAGCUGCGUAACUUGAAGCAUCGACAGUCGUUUUCACACCGAAGUCUUGAUUCGGACUAAAACCUGUCGACCGAGAGCAAUGCGGUUAGUUUUACCUUUAAUGGUGAAUCUUCAGCAUUUGUUCGAAGUUGAACAGUGUUCGAAAGCUCGACGAAUUGUGCGUUGAAAACAAGUCUUUAUUCAGCCUUC
RNAcentral lists this unclassified non-coding RNA (370 nucleotides) under uncultured fungus. RNAcentral describes it as "sequence contains ITS1". The stretch from base 1 to 106 matches the Rfam family "5.8S ribosomal RNA", at positions 50 to 154 of the family's 154-position model. The record is from RNAcentral. Lineage: Eukaryota; Fungi.